Molecule: ribosomal RNA, 439 nt
Filed under: uncultured bacterium
Lineage: Bacteria
Description: partial 16S ribosomal RNA
Rfam family: Bacterial small subunit ribosomal RNA
Source: RNAcentral
CUACGGGUUGCUGCAGUGGGGAAUAUUGGACAAUGGGCGCAAGCCUGAUCCAGCAAUGCCGCGUGAGUGAAGACGGCCUUAGGGUUGUAAAACUCUUUCGCUAGGGAAGAUAAUGACUGUACCUAGUAAAGAAGUCCCGGCUAACUCCGUGCCAGCAGCCGCGGUAAUACGGAGGGGACUAGCGUUGUUCGGAAUUACUGGGCGUAAAGAGUUCGUAGGUGGACUGACAAGUUAGAGGUGAAAUCCCAGGGCUCAACCCUGGAACUGCCUUUAAAACUGUCAGUCUAGAGACCGGAAGAGGUUAGGGGAAUACCUAGUGUAGAGGUGACAUUCGUAGAUAUUAGGUGGAACACCAGUGGCGAAGGCGCCUAACUGGUCCGGUACUGACGCUGAGGAACGAAAGCGUGGGGAGCAAACAGGAUUAGAUACCCCCGUAGUC